AGUGAACGCUGGCGGUGGGCCUAACACAUGCAAGUCGAACGGCAGCACAGUAAGAGCUUGCUCUUACGGGUGGCGAGUGGCGGACGGGUGAGGAAUACAUCGGAAUCUACUUUUUCGUGGGUGAUAACGUAGGGACACUUACGCUACUACCGCAUACGACCUACGGGUGAAAGCAGAGGAUCUUCGGACCUUGCGCGAUUGAAUUAGCCGAUGUCGGAUUGGCUAGUUGGCGGGGUAAAGGCCCACCAAGCCAACGAUCCGUAGCUGGUCUGAGAGGAUGAUCAGCCACACUGGAACUGAGACACGGUCCAGACUCCUACGGGAGGCAGCAGUGGGGAAUAUUGGACAAUGGGCGCAAGCCUGAUCCAGCCAUACCGCGUGGGUGAAGAAGGCCUUCGGGUUGUAAAGCCCUUUUGUUGGGAAAGAAAAGCAGCAGGUUAAUACCCCGCUGUUCUGACGGUACCCAAAGAAUAAGCACCGGCUAACUUCGUG
RNAcentral lists this ribosomal RNA (492 nucleotides) under uncultured bacterium. Its description in RNAcentral is "partial 16S ribosomal RNA". It matches the Rfam family "Bacterial small subunit ribosomal RNA", at positions 29 to 507 of the family's 1533-position model. The record is from RNAcentral.